GGACCUGAUAUCAGGCAAGAUUACCCGCUGAACUUAAGCAUAUUAAUAAGCGGAGGAAAAGAAACUAACAAGGAUUCCCCUAGUAACGGCGAGUGAAGCGGGAAGAGCUCAAGCUUAAAAUCUCCGUGCAAGUUUUGCGCGGCGAAUUGUAGUCUAUAGAGGCGUGAUCAGUGUGGGCGCUUGGGGCAAGUUCCUUGGAAGAGGACAGCAUGGAGGGUGAUACUCCCGUUCAUCCCUGAGUUGCUCGUGCGUACGAUCCGUUUUCUUUGAGUCGCGUUGUUUGGGAAUGCAGCGCAAAGUAGGUGGUAAAUUCCAUCUAAAGCUAAAUAUUGGUGCGAGACCGAUAGCGAACAAGUACCGUGAGGGAAAGAUGAAAAGAACUUUGAAAAGAGAGUUAAAGAGUACCUGAAACUGCUGAAAGGGAACCGAAUCGUUUCCAGUGUCUAUAAUCCGUGGUAUAUUUCAUUGGCGAGUGUGUGCGUGCGUGUGCUGUGGCAGCGGCUUUUUUGGCUGCGCUCGGCGUGUGUGCUGUGUGUGCUUGCUGGUGCCCUGUGCUGCGGUGGGACGUCAAGGUCAGUUCGUAUGCUGCGGGAAAUGGCCGCCGAGGAAGGUAGGGCUUACGCUUGCGUUUGUCUGUUAUAUCUUGGUGACGAGUAGUCGCGGUUGGGACUGAAGUGCCUACAACGUGUUUUUGAGUGGGCCUGUGUCUCUGUGUGCGCCGUGUGCGGAUAGCUUGCUAUGCGUGUGUGGUUGUGUGUGGAUUGAUGUGGGUUUUAACUUGUUGCCGUUCGGGACGUUGACGAAAUGGAGCGAUUUGACCCGUCUUGAAACACGGACCAAGGAGUCUAACAUGUGUGCAAGUGUUAGGGUGUGGAAACCCCAGCGCGAAAUGAAAGUGAAGGGCAGCGUAAGUUGUCUGAGGUAGGAAAUGCUGCGGGCUUCGGUCUGCGGUGUGGCACUAUCGACCGAUCAUGAACCUUCGUGGUGAAAGAUUUGAGUUUGAGCACAUAUGUUGGUACCCGAAAGAUGGUGAACUAUGCCUGAGUAGGGUGAAGCCAGGGGAAACUCUGGUGGAAGCUCGUAGCGAUUCUGACGUGCAAAUCGAUCGUCAAACUUGGGUAUAGGGGCGAAAGACUAAUCGAACCAUCUAGUAGCUGGUUCCCUCCGAAAUUUCCCUCAGGAUAGCAGCAACUUAUUUACGAUAGUUUUAUGAGGUAAAGCGAAUGAUUAGAGGAUUCGGGGAAGAAACUUCCUCGACCUAUUCUCAAACUUUAAAUCUGUCAGACCUGCAGGUUUCUUAAUUGAACUUGUGGAUAAUGAAUAUCAAGUUGCUAGUGGGCCAUACGGGGUAAGCGUGGG
Phytophthora infestans T30-4 is the source of this 1359-nucleotide ribosomal RNA. It matches the Rfam family "Eukaryotic large subunit ribosomal RNA", at positions 1 to 1150 of the family's 3401-position model. Lineage: Eukaryota; Oomycota; Peronosporomycetes; Peronosporales; Peronosporaceae. The record is from Rfam.